Molecule: ribosomal RNA, 486 nt
Filed under: Triticum aestivum (bread wheat)
Lineage: Eukaryota; Viridiplantae; Streptophyta; Magnoliopsida; Poales; Poaceae
Description: partial small subunit ribosomal RNA
Source: RNAcentral
AUGAAGCAACUCCUCCCUGCAUUCAAUAAGCUAAGGAAGCUAUCCGUGUGUGGCAUCUUUGUUGAAUUCUACCUUGAAUGGACAAUAGCUUUUCUUGUGGCGGCACCAUGUAUUGAAAUGUUACUUAUUGAGGUAUGGGAACAUACAUGUGAUUUGGAUGAAAAAAUCAGACGGUGGUACCCUAAAAGAAGGACUCCUCGGUGGGAAAUGCACUUCGAUGGAUCCAAGAACUCUCUUUUGAAAGAGCUAGAAUUUAUUGGCUUUAGGUCACUACGACAUCAAUUUACAUUUAUAAGAUCCAUUCUAGAGCGAGCCCCCAACGUGCAGAGGAUAGUUCUGAAAGGAGACGAGCAAUGCGAAUAUUGUGAUGCUCUUGAUACACCACCUCGUCCUUCAAAAUUUCCAAAGAAGGAUGAAGAGCAAGAAAUAGUGGUUAAGCGAAUUCGAGAUGGAAUAUUCUCAACGCAGAUAUUUUUUGAUGAAUAA